UGAGUACGAGAUGCUACGGCAUCGAAGCAGUCUAUGUCAUACUUCCAAGAAAAGCUUGCACUGUCAGAAACAGAUAAUGCCUGUACCAUAACCGACACAGGUGGGUAGGUAGAGUAUACUAAGGGGCGCGAGAUAACUCUCUCUAAGGAACUCGGCAAAAUGACUCCGUAACUUCGGGAGAAGGAGUGCCUUAUUUUUAAGGUUGCAAUAACAAGAUCCAAGCAACUGUUUACCAAAAACACAGGUCUCCGCUAAGUCGUAAGACGAUGUAUGGGGGCUGACGCCUGCCCAGUGCCAGAAGGUUAAAGAAGUCGGUUAGCAUUCGCGAAGCUGGUAACUGAAGCCCUGGUGAACGGCGGCCGUAACAGUAACGGUCCUAAGGUAGCGAAAUUCCUUGUCGGGUAAGUUCCGACCCGCACGAAAGGCGUAAUGAUUUGGAUACUGUCUCGGAGAGGGGCUCGGUGAAAUAGACUUGUCUGUGAAGAUGCGGACUACCUGCACCUGGACAGAAAGACCCUAUGAAGCUUUACUGUAACUUGAAAUUGAAAUUGGACUUUAUUUGCGCAGUAUAGGUGGGAGGCGUUGAAAAUAUUCUUGCGGGAAUAUUGGAGCCAUCAGUGAGAUACCACUCUUGUAAUGUUAGAUUUCUAACUUUAUAUCAUUAUCUGGUUAAAGAACAGUUUCAGGCGGGCAGUUUGACUGGGGCGGUCGCCUCCCAAAUGGUAACGGAGGCGCACAAAGGUUUCCUCUGAACGGGUAGAAAUCGUAUCUAGAGUGUAAAGGCAUAAGGAAGCUUGACUGUGAGACCUACAAGUCGAGCAGGGACGAAAGUCGGUCUUAGUGAUCUGACGGUGCUGAGUGGAAAGGCCGUCACUCAACGGAUAAAAGUUACUCUAGGAUAACAGGCUGAUCUCCCCCAAGAGUUCACAUCGACGGGGAGGUUUGGCACCUCGAUGUCGGCUCAUCGCAUCCUGGGGCGGUAGUACGUCCCAAGGGUUGGGCUGUUCGCCCAUGAAAGCGGUACGCGAGCUGGGUUCAGAACGUCGUGAGACAGUUCGGUCCAUAUCCGGUGUAGGCGUUAGAAUAUUGAGAGGAGCCUUCUUUAGUACGAGAGGACCGAGAAGGACAUACCUCUGGUGUACCAGUUAUCGUGCCAACGGUAAACGCUGGGUAGCUAUGUAUGGAGUGGAUAACCGCUGAAAGCAUCUAAGUGGGAAGCCCACCUCAAGAUAAGUAUUCUCAUA
Molecule: ribosomal RNA, 1244 nt
Filed under: metagenome
Description: bacterial LSU rRNA
Rfam family: Bacterial large subunit ribosomal RNA
Source: RNAcentral